This 415-nucleotide ribosomal RNA is filed under the name uncultured bacterium. RNAcentral's name for it is "bacterial SSU rRNA". It matches the Rfam family "Bacterial small subunit ribosomal RNA", at positions 355 to 767 of the family's 1533-position model. The record is from RNAcentral.
UAAGGAAUAUUGGUCAAUGGAGGCAACUCUGAACCAGCCAUGCCGCGUGAAGGAUUAAGGCCCUCUGGGUUGUAAACUUCUUUUAUAUGGGAAGAAAUGUACUUUUUCUAAAGUGCUUGACGGUACCAUAGGAAUAAGCACCGGCUAACUCCGUGCCAGCAGCCGCGGUAAUACGGAGGGUGCAAGCGUUAUCCGGAUUUACUGGGUUUAAAGGGUGCGUAGGCGGAUGAAUAAGUCAGUGGUGAAAUCUCCGAGCUUAACUCGGAAACUGCCGUUGAUACUAUUUGUCUUGAAUAUUGUGGAGGUAAGCGGAAUAUGUCAUGUAGCGGUGAAAUGCUUAGAUAUGACAUAGAACACCGAUUUCGAAGGCAGCUUGCUACACAAUCAUUGACGCUGAGGCACGAAAGCGUGGGGA